RNAcentral lists this non-coding RNA (113 nucleotides) under Deltaproteobacteria bacterium. RNAcentral's name for it is "TPP sequence". It matches the Rfam family "TPP riboswitch aptamer (THI element)". From Rfam's summary of the family: Vitamin B(1) in its active form thiamin pyrophosphate (TPP) is an essential coenzyme that is synthesised by coupling of pyrimidine and thiazole moieties in bacteria. The record is from RNAcentral. Lineage: Bacteria; Pseudomonadati; Myxococcota; Myxococcia.
AUCAAAUGCUAGGGGUGUCUGUUUAAAGCAGACUGAGAGCCUGACGACUGACCAGGUAACCCUUCGAACCUGAUCCGGGUAGCGCCGGCGUAGGGAAGCGUGAGAGUCAAGCU